RNAcentral lists this small RNA (3162 nucleotides) under Drosophila pseudoobscura pseudoobscura. Its description in RNAcentral is "GA25895". Lineage: Eukaryota; Metazoa; Arthropoda; Insecta; Diptera; Drosophilidae. The record is from RNAcentral.
CUGAGGGUCGGACGGUAUAUUUGAUCGAUAAAUCCGCGGUCACACUGAUCUCAAUUGCGGAACAUAAGGCCGUUUUGAAGCCCAACUGUGGCCCACAACUCCGCCCUGCCUCAGCCAGACCACCAGAUCGGCCAGGUGGAUCUUAGCCGACCAGAUCUUAGCCCGAAUCUGAAGAAAACCAAGCUGGAUGAGGCCUCGACGGCGGGGUUGAUGCAAGCACAUAAACGGAUCAGGGCGUGGUGUCUAUGAUGAGCUUCCAUCUGCGUCGCAAAAAGGGACUGGAACAAACCCUGGCGGCCAAGCUUACACCAAAGGCGUACGUCAAGGAGACUCAUGCCGUGCCCGGGCUGCCGGAGCUGCUGGAUCCUGCAUUCCCAACAAGACACGUCUGGACAGAUUAUGCGCCACUACGGCAGUGCAAGGGCAUCCGCCAGUUGCAGGCUUUGUACGUGUCCCACCUGCACGCGGAUCAUCACAUUGGAUUGAUUGGACUGCUGAAGGAGCGCAGAUAGCUGGCCCCGAAGGAAACUCGCUGCUCUUACUUGCGCCGCGGCAGAUCGAGCCAUGGAUGGAGUUCUAACAAGGAUAGCUCUUGGCGAGACUCCUGACUGGAGAGGCAGUGGCACCAUUGGGCAUAACUGCCGCCACUGCCAAGUCACCAGUAGGAACUGCCAAGCCGCCAGUGCGAACAGCUGCUUAAAAUCUUGCGAGACGCUUGGCGAUGCUGUGGAUGAUCGAGUUCAGCCCAACAAUCAACCUUUGCGGAAUGAGAGGAGCAGCAGCAAGGCAAGAAGGUGAGUUCUGGGUGAAAACUUGUCUCAUUGUCCUAUGCAGGAUGCCGAUCAGGAUUUGUACUAAAACCAGGACAGUUCGGCUAACUCGUCGCAGUCCUCGGUGGGCAUUGAUGACUAUUGGGAUGAGGCUCUGGUCGGCGACUAUGGAAGCACUCAGAAUGAUGACAGCGAUGACUUGGAUGGUCACAACAACUAGCCACCUAUCGAUGGGCAGCAAGGAAAAGAACCCGGCCGUAACGAGUUGCGUUACUAUUGGCGAUCAAGAGAUCAUAGACUGCAAAGAACAAUUCGACAAGCAGCGGCAGGCAACAUUACUUGGGCCGAGCAGGGCAGUAAAUGUAAAAGUUGUUCUGCACUAUCUUAAAAGCGUGCUCCGGCGGUCUUAAGCCUUCUGCACCAUGUUUUACAUCAUCGGUUUCGACCGGGAGCGCAGACAACUGGCUCCAAAGGAAACUCGCUGCUCAUACUUGCACCGCGGCAGAUUGAGCCAUGGAUGGAGUUCUAACACGGAUAGCUCUUGGCGAGACUCCUGACUGGAGAGGCAGUAACUUUGGGCAUAACUGCCGCCACUACCAAGUCACCAGUACGAACUGCCAAGCCGCCAGUACGAACAGCUGCUUAAAAUCUUGCGAGGCGUUUGGCGAUGCUGUGGAUGAUCGAGUUCAGCCCAACAAUCAACCGUUGCGGAAUGAGAGGAGCAGCAGCAAGGCAAGAAGGAUGCCGAUCAGGAUUUUUACUAAAACCAGGAGAGUUCGGCUAACUCGUCGCAGUCCUCGGUGGGCAUUGAUGACUAUUGGGAUGAAGCUCUGGUUGGCGACUAUGGAAGCACUCAGAAUGAUGACAGCGAUGACUUGGACGGGCACAACAACUAGCCACCUAUCGAUGGGCGAGCGCAGACAGCUGGCCCCGAAGGAAACUCGCUGCUCUUACUUGCGCCGCGGCAGAUCGAGCCAUGGAUGGAGUUCUAACACGGAUAGCUCUUGGCGAGACUCCUGACUGCAGAGGCAGUGGCACCAUUGGGCGUAACUGCCGCCACUGCCAAGUCACCAGUAGGAACUGCGAAGCCGCCAGUACGAACAGCUGCUUAAAAUCUUGCGAGACGCUUGGCGAUGCUGUGGAUGAUCAAGUUCAGCCCAACAAUCAACAGUUGCGGAAUGAGAGGAGCAGCAACAGGACAAGAAGGAUGCCGAUCAGGAUUUCUACUAAAACCAGGACAGUUCGGCUAACUCGUCGCAGUCCUCGGUGGGCAUUGAUGACUAUUGGGAUGAAGCUCUGGUCGGCGACUAUGGAAGCACUCAGAAUGAUGACAGCGAUGACUUGGACGGGCACAACAACUAGCCACCUAUCGAUGGGCAGCAAGGAGAAGAACCCGGCCGCAACGAGUUGCGUUACUAUUGGCGAUCAUGAGGUCAUGGACUGCAAAGAACAAUUCGACAAGCAGCAACAUUACUUGGGCCGAGCAGGGCAGUAAAUGUGAAAGUUGUACAGCACUAUCUUAAAAGCGUGCUCCGGCGGUCUUAAGCCUUCUGCACCAUGUUUUACAUCAUCGGUUUCGACCGGAUCCAGUGGCCUAAAAAGUGCUAUAGAGCGAUCCUCUCUUACCCCACCAGGAGGUCACCCCCUCCGGUGGCCAUGAAUACCUUUUGCAUGACCGCGAAUACCGAAUUACCCACCAUCGUUUAACUGGGGCUUCACACUUCAGGUCCUCCGGUUUAGCUGAACGAGUGGGCGCUCGAUGGCGGCUGUCCACUCCAGGCGCCUACCGGCUGACAUCGCGAGCUCCCCACCGGCUCUUGGGACAUGACUUACAUCGCGCGAGCUGUGGCCUCUAGCCUGGACGACCUUUGGGUCCUCUCGGGAUGUGUAAGGGAUGUGCUCCUGGCUGGACUGUGGCAGGCACUGUCUGUCCUCCUGCGGGCCAAAGCCAUGAUGCCACUACUGUGUCGCUGAAUCGACAAUGUGGCGUCCCGUCCGCUGCAGCAGGGACCACUGAUCGACUUCAGAAUUGUGGGUUCACGCCCACGGUAAUCAAACGCUGGUCUUCAGCCUCGAGGCGCAGGGCUUAUGUACCAUAUCCAAGCAUUGCCGAAUCGUAUCCCAGCAGGACAAAAGCGCACCCCUUGGAAGAGCCCAAAUCUAACAAGCCGACGUCACAUUUCGACCUGGCCAUUGAAAACUAUCUCAAGGACUUUGGCUAUGGCAACCAAGGGAGGGAUACGCGGACUACCAGACUAUAGAUAGAUCUCGUUGUUAAUAGGUUUAAGGAUACACACGUCUGUACAUUUAGAUAGUAGAUAUAAAUAUUUCCAAAUUGUUAAUUUCUUUAUAGUAAGUUAACGUUAUUAUGAAUAAAACUAUUGAAAAAUUA